This 764-nucleotide long non-coding RNA is filed under the name Rattus norvegicus (Norway rat). RNAcentral's name for it is "long non-coding RNA NONRATT027433". The record is from RNAcentral. Lineage: Eukaryota; Metazoa; Chordata; Mammalia; Rodentia; Muridae.
GGCCUGGCUCCCAACAGCCUACCAGAUGAUUUUUGAGCACCCUGUUUGCUCCUACGUAUGUGACGAUCCACACGAAUGAAGACCUUUGUCCAUUAUGCUUACCAAAGAGUCCAUCCCUUCCUGGCACUGCAUCCUGGGAGUAUGUGUGGGGUGCACUGUACCUCUAGCUGCUUACAGGUCAGGCUCUCAACAGGCACAGCUUAAUUUACGAACACGCUCACGUUUCGUUUAUUUUUAUAAACCUUUAAAGUUGCUGAUGACGAUAACUAUAGAAAAGCCAUGCCUUAAACUGUGAAGGGACUCCUCUUGGGCAGGAGCCGGUGGGAUGGACUCGCCAUGGAGGAGCUGUGGCUGCAGGGAGCAGUGUGGCAGUUCUGCCGAUGGAGGCACUUCGGGGUUAGAACAGCGAAUGCCCAUGCCUAGGUUUGUGCGGGGAUUGAGAAUCUAGUCCGAAAAGCUGCACUCACCCUCGAUUAUGUGCAGGCUGCGUGUCCACCUCUCCCCACCCACUGCAUAGAAGGCUCAUUUGGUGUGUUUUACAUGUAAAGAUUCUGGAAGAGUCAAUAGUCGAUGUCUUCAUAAAGGAAAAACAAAUCUUACUAGAAAAACUAAGUGAAAGUGGUCUCCUGGCAUGAAGUGAUAUUUCCUCCAAACUGUAUCUGUCAGAUGUUUAAUUCCAACUAGUAUUUUGAGGGUUUUAAGAACUGACAUUAAAAUAUUAUAAAAGAAUUAUAUAAUAAAGAUUUGUUUUUGAUGAAUUUUGA